This 330-nucleotide ribosomal RNA is filed under the name uncultured eukaryote. Its description in RNAcentral is "partial 18S ribosomal RNA". It matches the Rfam family "Eukaryotic small subunit ribosomal RNA", at positions 1470 to 1796 of the family's 1831-position model. The record is from RNAcentral.
CCCUUAGAUGUUCUGGGCUGCACGCGCGCUACACUGAAGCGUUCAACGAGUAUUCACCUUGCCCGGGAGGGUUGGGUAAUCUUUUGAAAACGCUUCGUGAUGGGGAUAGAUUAUUGCAAUUAUCCUUCAUGAACGAGGAAUUCCCAGUAAGUGCAAGUCAUAAGCUUGCGCUGACUACGUCCCUGCCCUUUGUACACACCGCCCGUCGCUACUACCGAUUGAAUGAUUUAGUGAGGACUUCGGACUGGGACCGAUGCGGCUUUCGGGCUGCGUCGGUAUUCUGGAAAGAUGUCCAAACUGUAUCAUUUAGAGGAAGUAAAAGUCGUAACA